GGGUGGAAGAAAAGUAAGCCGGCAGCUGUGGAGUGAUGGACCAUUAUCCCAGAUCAAAGCAGGGCUCAGCAGGAACGGCACAAGAAAACACAGUAAGCCUGCUAUAUUAGAAGUUGGUGGACACUGUUGCAGUCUACUGAAAAUACUCAAAGUACCUCCCUGGCAAUAUUGUGUUAAAAAAUGUACUCGGAGGAGCAGCUGGAGGACAUAACCUUGACAUGAUAUCGUCAGCAGCUCAGCAUAUUCACACAAUGCAACAGGCAGAGAGAUAGUGAAGCAAUGACUGCAAGGCACUGGAACAGCUGAGGUUAAGUACUGUAGUAUAAAAUGAUUUGAUGUUCCUCUCUCAUGCCUACAGUGCCCUGUUUUCAAUCUGUCACUCAAGCAUGAAUCUACGAGGCAGGGGCUGAGAGUUGGGCAAGACUGCGUCUGUCAUUUUACCAAGUGUCUCUUGCCCUUGUACUCUAUUAGUUUAUCAGCGAGUCUCAUAUGGAGUGGUAAUCGUUACCAGCAUAUUGGAGUGAUUUCUUUUAGACUCAGUGAGAGAGAUCAAUUCUGUUUGUCAUUCCUCCCUGCCCACUCCUCCAUCUUGGAGGAUGUGUGUGUGUGUGUGUGUUUGUUUGUGUGUAUAUGUACA
Carassius gibelio (silver crucian carp) is the source of this 637-nucleotide long non-coding RNA. RefSeq lists it as uncharacterized. NCBI's taxonomy places the organism in Eukaryota, Metazoa, Chordata, Actinopteri, Cypriniformes, Cyprinidae. The transcript is spliced from 3 exons. The record is from RefSeq and is a predicted model, not a curated record.